Molecule: long non-coding RNA, 716 nt
Organism: Bubalus bubalis (water buffalo)
Lineage: Eukaryota; Metazoa; Chordata; Mammalia; Artiodactyla; Bovidae
Exons: 3
Source: RefSeq, a predicted model, not a curated record
UUCAAUAGCAUCAGAUGCAAUGGGUUAUUUUGGGACAAUUUACAGAGCACGUGGGUUGCUCUGGAGAGAAUUAGAGGGGAGUUUCUUUCUGAUUGUGAAAUUGUGGUAGCGGAAAUUCUGUUCCAUCCCUUCCCCACCAAUCCCUUUAACACACACCAUUUUAUUUCACUUCUAGAAAAAUUUAAUUCCUUUGGAAAAACAUCACUUGAGAGGAAAGAACCAGGACCUUUUUCAGCUGUAAACUUGCUCCGCACAGGCGGGAUGUGCUUGGGUAGCGGCUCUGAGAAUCAGGCUCUUAGAAAUGAAAGGAGGGGGCUUUUGACCCAGGCUGGAGCCCUGACUGGCACAUCCCAAGUGAGGCAGCUUCUGAGGAGGGGCUACAUCUGGGUGGCAGCUGACUCUCUGGGAAAUCCCGAGACCAGCCCAUGAAGAUUUGCAAUGCAGAGCAUCCUGUCCGUGACGUCAUGCCACCUGGUUUAUGGCCUCGUUGCUUGGCGUUUUGAGUUGAGUAACGCCUGCUGGUGCACCAGGCACCGCCUCCGUAACCACAAGGAAGGGGCAGCAUCAGGCGAGUCUCCCAGGCAUUUGCUGGGAAAUCGCUUCCUUUGUGCCAGACGGAUGAAUGUUUUCCGUAUUUCUCACAAAAGGAAAAGGGUUGCAUGACGAAGGUUAACAUAACAAUCUUCUCUUAUUACUGUGAUUUAUGUGUGCAUAAC